AAUACACAGAAUCAAUGCGUGAAUUUUCAAAGGACAAUGAGGCCAAGAAACGCCAGCUACUGAAAUCAUCCCAGUUCACUUCUAAUUCUACUACAACGCGGUGCAAAGAGGAAGAAGAAUGCCCAAUGGAAAGUAUUGUAAAUGUGCCAUCCAUGAUGUAUGAAGCUUAUCCUGUUGGUUAUGCAUCGACAGCCC
This 195-nucleotide non-coding RNA is filed under the name Thalassiosira rotula. The record is from RNAcentral. Lineage: Eukaryota; Bacillariophyta; Thalassiosirophyceae; Thalassiosirales; Thalassiosiraceae.